GCCAUGCUUGUCAAGGAGGAUAAUUGAGGCUGAGGUUAAAAGACAUUAAGAGCCUUAAUGAAAGCAAACUGUGAGCAGCUGUUCCCAAAGUUAUUAUGUGUUUGGCUUGGACUUCUGCUUCCAUGGAUUCCUAGGAUUCAUUUGCAAAAUAACUUGCUUCAAUAUUUACACAUUGGCCGAAGCUGAUUGAGCGGGAAUAAUGAGCCUUCGAUAUCUGCACUGCACAAGGUGGGUGAAGACUUGUUUCCACUGGGUAGAGUGUAUGGCGGAAUAAACGGUGUGUC
This 284-nucleotide long non-coding RNA is filed under the name Felis catus (domestic cat). RNAcentral describes it as "lncRNA (ENSFCAG00000047375.1)". Lineage: Eukaryota; Metazoa; Chordata; Mammalia; Carnivora; Felidae. The record is from RNAcentral.